CUGCGGUGAAUACGUUCCCGGGCCUUGUACACACCGCCCGUCACGUCACGAAAGUCGGUAACACCCGAAGCCGGUGGCCCAACCCCUUGUGGGAGGGAGCUGUCGAAGGUGGGACUGGCGAUUGGGACGAAGUCGUAACAAGGUAGCCGUACCGGAAGGUGCGGCUGGAUCACCUCCUUUCUAAGGAG
RNAcentral lists this ribosomal RNA (188 nucleotides) under Streptomyces albus subsp. albus. RNAcentral describes it as "partial 16S ribosomal RNA". It matches the Rfam family "Bacterial small subunit ribosomal RNA", at positions 1357 to 1533 of the family's 1533-position model. Lineage: Bacteria; Bacillati; Actinomycetota; Actinomycetes; Kitasatosporales; Streptomycetaceae. The record is from RNAcentral.